GGAUGUGAGGGCGAUCUGGCUGCAACAUCUAUCACCCCGUUGAUCGCCAGGUUUGAUUUGGCUGAUGUGGCUGGUCAGGGGGGUUUCCCCUCCCUUCCUUGCCACUCCAGUGUGUCCCCCUUGAAGACGUACACUCAGAGAGGACGAGCUUCCCUGCUAGAAGCUCCAAACAAGCUCUCUAAUGUCAUGGCUACAUUGCAGAUAUUUAUGGCAGCUUACAAGUAACUGACACUGGACCAGGUUAGGAACUACCUAUUAGAACAGUCAUGCAGACUUGUCUUUCUGAACCU
Molecule: small RNA, 290 nt
Filed under: Jaculus jaculus (lesser Egyptian jerboa)
Lineage: Eukaryota; Metazoa; Chordata; Mammalia; Rodentia; Dipodidae
Description: 7SK RNA (ENSJJAG00000009291.1)
Rfam family: 7SK RNA (bases 1-197)
About the family: 7SK was discovered as an abundant small nuclear RNA in the mid-70s but a possible function has only recently been suggested. Two independent studies have found that 7SK RNA binds the CDK9/cyclin T complex (known as elongation factor P-TEFb).
Source: RNAcentral